UUAUGUAUGUAUAUAUAUACAUAUAUAUGUAUAUGUAUACAUAUAAAUUUAUAUAUGUAUAUGUAUAUAUAUGUAUAUAUAUAUAUGUAUGUAUAUAUAUGUGUAUACAUAUAUACAUAUAUGUGUGUAUAUAUACAUAUAUAUAUAGCUUGAUAAUAUUGAUAAUAAUGUAACCAUUGAGAAUAAUUUGUUUUGUUUUCUGUUAUAUAAUCACGAGUAAACAGCUGUUAGCAAAAAUAAAGAGAAAACACGAUGAAUUUAUUUAAAUUCAAAUUUAAUUAUGUAAUCACACCAGAGGUGAUCAUCACGUGAACACUACAAUCCCAGUGGGCAAACCAGAGCCAUGUCCUGAUCUCUCUCUCUCUUUCACACACACACACACACACACACACACACACACACACACACACACACACACACACACACACACACACACACACACACACACACACACACACAGCAGGAGAAAAGCAAACAGUAAUCAGGUACGAAUAAAUGCUCAAACCAGAACCUGAUCUGGGUCAGCAGGUUUGAUCAUCUGAGUUAACUAAAGCCUGAUCUAAACCAGCAGCCUGUCUUAUCCCUCACACUCCCACCCCACCAGACUGGUUUCCCAUUAAUUAACACCUCUUGUAAUUAAUGGAUCUGCAGCUCAAGCUCACUGGAAUCCUGGAGCUCCGUCAGUAGACCUAUUUCUAUUACUGGUCCAGAUGGUCUCCACGUGCAUUUCGUUUUUUUUCUUCACAUAUGGUGAUCAGACUCCAUUUGGCAGGUUUAAAUCUAAGACAUUUGUCCUCUGUAUUUUUCCAGAGUGUCUGGAUCUGGUAAAGAUGGAGAAAAAUGAUUUUCCUGCUACUAUAACAACUUCCUUGCAACAUCCUAUUAUCUUUCAUUUAGAGCAAAUCCAAAAUAACAAGUUACUAAACUAAGCAGGGUAGAGAACUAUUUACCCCUUCUUAUCAGCAACACUGGAACAGCAUUACACUUGACCCUUAACGACCUCCUAGAGCCGAUAAGGGUGGUAAAAUAGAAACAAUUGCUUUUUAAUUCCAAAAAGCCGUAAUAUGUCAAGACAUGUCAACUAACUUUAUUGUUUUCAGCUGAGCAUGCAUCACCUUUUCUGCAUGUCCAACAUCGGCAUCAGCAUUAAAGUUAGGGCUGCAUGGUGGCGCAGUGGUUAGCACUGUUGCCUCGCAGCACGAAGGUCGCUGGUUCGAAACUCGGCUGCGGCCUUUCUGCGUGGAGUUGCGUGUUCUCCCCAUGCAUGCGUGGGUUUCCCCCACAGAUCACAACAUGCCCUAUAGGUUAUAAAUUGUUAGUCGCUUUGGAUAAAAGCGUCUGCCAAAUAAAUAAACAUGAACAUAAAGUUGGUGUACUCCUUAUGAAAACUUCUAACUUUGGGCAGCACUAGCCUCAUGCUGCUGCAAUCCUCGUUCGUAGUCUCAUCACCUCUCGCACCAACUACUGUAACUCCCUUCUAUUUGGUCUCCCAACUAAAUCCCAUCGUGAACUCCAACUUCUCCAGAACUCUGCAGCGCGCAUCAUUACUGGGACCCCCUCAAGAAAUCCCAUCACUCCUGUUCUUACAAACCUACACUGGUUGCCAAUAGAAACCAGGUUCAUGUACAAGAUCCUACUACUCACAUUUAAAUCUAUCCAUAGCAUGGCCCCACUUUAUCUGUGUAACUUACUAACUAUUGCAACCACUUCCCAGUCUCUCAGAUCCUCAUCUGCACUUCAUCUGGUUCAACCUCGAGCUCUUCUUACCACCAUGGGGAGCAGAGCUUUCAGUUGCUCUGCUCUGCUAGCCUGGCUAGCCAUCCUAAACUUAGCAAGGCAUAAAUUUGGCCUAGUUCACUAGGCUACUGCUCCGCGGCUCUGCCAGUAGAAAUACGGACUCUUUUCCAUUAUUCAAGGCACUCCUCAAAACCCACUUAUUCCAACAAUUUUAUUCCCUUUAGACCUAGACUUUAGAGUGUUUUGAAUUUUAAUGCAUCUUAUUUUUUCUUAUUGCUCUAUCAACCUCUGUUGUUUUUAUCUUUGUUUAAUUGUAAGGUGACCUCUGUCAUGCUGUGGGUAAGAGCUUGCACCCAGGACAUGAAGAAUCACAUGAGAGGGACGGAUCAGACCGGAAUCUACGGAGAUAUAAGCAGAAGGAAUCGGAACCAGAGCGGAGGCGAACUGAGGAAGGUCGGACCAGAUGAGGAGUUCAGAGCGUGAGGCAGGCGGGCAGACGUGGAGAGAGGAGUCCGGAGGAUCUUUAAGCGACGAGACGUGGGAACAACUCCAGGCAAGGUAGGUGAAGCAGGUACAGGAUACUGGAACGGAGUUCAAAGUUAUAAACAUGGAAUCACGAAACAGAGCGGGCAGGUUCAGAGGCUAGAGACU
This is a non-coding RNA of Nothobranchius furzeri (turquoise killifish), 2388 nucleotides long. NCBI's taxonomy places the organism in Eukaryota, Metazoa, Chordata, Actinopteri, Cyprinodontiformes, Nothobranchiidae. The record is from RefSeq and is a predicted model, not a curated record.